This 69-nucleotide transfer RNA is filed under the name Ictidomys tridecemlineatus (thirteen-lined ground squirrel). RNAcentral's name for it is "Spermophilus tridecemlineatus (thirteen-lined ground squirrel) tRNA". It matches the Rfam family "tRNA". From Rfam's summary of the family: Transfer RNA (tRNA) molecules are approximately 80 nucleotides in length. Their secondary structure includes four short double-helical elements and three loops (D, anti-codon, and T loops). The record is from Rfam by way of RNAcentral. Lineage: Eukaryota; Metazoa; Chordata; Mammalia; Rodentia; Sciuridae.
GGGGAUGUGGCUCAAGCAGUAGCGCGCUUGCCUGGCAAGCAUGCGGCCUGGGUUCGAUCCUCAGCACCA